UACGGGGGGGGCAAGCGUUGUUCGGAAUUACUGGGCGUAAAGGGCUUGUAGGUGGCCAACUAAGUCAGACGUGAAAUCCCUGGGCUCAACCCAGGAACUGCGUCCGAUACUGGAAGGCUUGAAUCCGGGAGAGGGAUGCGGAAUUCCAGGUGUAGCGGUGGAAUGCGCAGAUAUCAGGAAGAACACCAACGGCGAAGGCAGCUCGCUGGGACGGUACUGACGCUGAGACGCGAAAGCGUGGGGAGCGAACAGG
Molecule: ribosomal RNA, 253 nt
Filed under: uncultured bacterium
Lineage: Bacteria
Description: partial 16S ribosomal RNA
Rfam family: Bacterial small subunit ribosomal RNA
Source: RNAcentral